RNAcentral lists this ribosomal RNA (114 nucleotides) under uncultured bacterium. RNAcentral describes it as "partial 16S ribosomal RNA". It matches the Rfam family "Bacterial small subunit ribosomal RNA", at positions 1369 to 1482 of the family's 1533-position model. The record is from RNAcentral.
CGUUCCCGGGUCUUGUACACACCGCCCGUCAUACCAUGGGAGCGGGUUUUACCAGAAGUAGGUAGCUUAACCGCAAGGAGGGCGCUUACCACGGUAGGAUUCGUGACUGGGGUG